AAGAAACUAACAAGGAUUCCCCUAGUAACGGCGAGUGAACCGGGAAGAGCUCAAAUUUGAAAUCUGGCGUCCUCAGGGCGUCCGAGUUGUAAUCUAUAGAGGCGUUUUCCGUGCCGGACCGUGUCCAAGUUCCUUGGAACAGGAUAUCAAAGAGGGUGACAAUCCCGUACUUGACACGAUGACCGGUGCUCUGUGAUACGUCUUCUACGAGUCGAGUUGUUUGGGAAUGCAGCUCAAAAUGGGUGGUGAGUUCCAUCUAAAGCUAAAUAUUGGCGAGAGACCGAUAGCGAACAAGUACCGUGAGGGAAAGAUGAAAAGCACUUUGGAAAGAGAGUUAAACAGUACGUGAAAUUGUUGAAAGGGAAACGAUUGAAGUCAGUCGUGACUGAGAGGCUCAGCCGGUUCUGCCGGUGUAUUCCCCUCAGUCGGGUCAACAUCAGUUUUGUCCGGUGGAAAAGGGCGGUAGGAACGUGGCACCUCCGGGUGUGUUAUAGCCGCCGUCGCAUACAUCGGGUGAGACUGAGGAAUGCAGCUCGCCUCUAUGGCCGGGG
Molecule: ribosomal RNA, 551 nt
Filed under: Papiliotrema aff. laurentii PL3DP8
Lineage: Eukaryota; Fungi; Basidiomycota; Tremellomycetes; Tremellales; Rhynchogastremaceae
Description: LSU rRNA
Rfam family: Eukaryotic large subunit ribosomal RNA
Source: RNAcentral